UACGAAGGGGGCAAGCGUUGUUCGGAUUUACUGGGCGUAAAGGGAGUGUAGGCGGUUCUCCAAGUCAGACGUGAAAGCCCGGGGCUCAACCCCGGAAUUGCGUUUGAGACUGUAGAACUUGAGUGUCUGAGGGGUAAGCGGAAUUUCCAGUGUAGAGGUGAAAUUCGUAGAUAUUCGCAAGAACACCAGUGGCGAAGGCGGCUUACUGGUCCGGUUCUGACGCUGAGGCGCGAAAGCGUGGGGAGCAAACAGG
This 253-nucleotide ribosomal RNA is filed under the name uncultured bacterium. Its description in RNAcentral is "partial 16S ribosomal RNA". It matches the Rfam family "Bacterial small subunit ribosomal RNA", at positions 524 to 776 of the family's 1533-position model. The record is from RNAcentral.